UAAAGGGUUCGUAGGUGGUUAAUUAAGUUAUCUGUGAAAUCCCCGGGCUCAACCUGGGCAGGUCAGAUAAUACUGGUUAACUCGAGUAUGGGAGAGGGUAGUGGAAUUUCCGGUGUAGCGGUGAAAUGCGUAGAGAUCGGAAGGAACACCAGUGGCGAAGGCGGCUACCUGGCCUAAUACUGACACUGAGGAACGAAAGCGUGGGGAGCAAACAGGAUUAGAUACCCUGGUAGUCCACGCUGUAAACGAUGUCAACUAG
RNAcentral lists this ribosomal RNA (259 nucleotides) under uncultured Legionella sp. RNAcentral describes it as "partial 16S ribosomal RNA". It matches the Rfam family "Bacterial small subunit ribosomal RNA", at positions 561 to 819 of the family's 1533-position model. Lineage: Bacteria; Pseudomonadati; Pseudomonadota; Gammaproteobacteria; Legionellales; Legionellaceae. The record is from RNAcentral.